AAGAGUCACGACUGAGCAAUGAGCAAGAAGAGGAGAUUUUACCACAAGAUCAGGGACAAGAAGACUUCUGUAGUAUCUCCCACCAUGCUGAUCUUCUGGGAACCCUUCACCUGCUUCUGCUACUGCAAAUGACUGGACAUCCAUUAAUUUUGGUUCUUCAUGUGUGGAAACCUUUUGUUCACUAUGCUUCAGAAGGCUGGGCCUGGCCUGAAAAUGGAUCUUUGAAUUGUCUUUGUACUUGUCCCAACUUGCCAAGUUUCUGAAAGAAGGACCGGAGUAAUGCCAAGGAUUGCCAGAUGAAGAGGACCUUCCUAAAUUCUGUAACUGAGAUUAACCCAUUCUUGACUUCAGGAGGCAAUUUCAACUAAUUCUCAGGAUAAAGUCAAAACAGGCCUGGGAUGUCCCUUGAAUAUCCAUGGUGUAAACAGGCUUCUGGCUCCCCCAGGUCAAGCAGAAAAACACUGUUUUAGAA
Molecule: long non-coding RNA, 472 nt
Organism: Dama dama (fallow deer)
Lineage: Eukaryota; Metazoa; Chordata; Mammalia; Artiodactyla; Cervidae
Exons: 2
Source: RefSeq, a predicted model, not a curated record